Molecule: ribosomal RNA, 253 nt
Filed under: uncultured bacterium
Lineage: Bacteria
Description: partial 16S ribosomal RNA
Rfam family: Bacterial small subunit ribosomal RNA
Source: RNAcentral
UACGGAGGGGGCUAGCGUUGUUCGGAAUUACUGGGCGUAAAGCGCGCGUAGGCGGACCUGCAAGUCGGGGGUGAAAGCCCGAGGCUCAACCUCGGAACUGCCUUCGAUACUGCGGGUCUCGAGUCCGGGAGAGGUGAGUGGAAUUCCUAGUGUAGAGGUGAAAUUCGUAGAUAUUAGGAAGAACACCAGUGGCGAAGGCGGCUCACUGGCCCGGUACUGACGCUGAGGCGCGAAAGCGUGGGGAGCAAACCGG